Molecule: ribosomal RNA, 338 nt
Filed under: uncultured Pseudomonadota bacterium
Lineage: Bacteria; Pseudomonadati; Pseudomonadota
Description: bacterial SSU rRNA
Rfam family: Bacterial small subunit ribosomal RNA
Source: RNAcentral
AACGAACGCUGGCGGCGUGCUUAACACAUGCAAGUCGAACGCGAAAGUGGUCUUCGGACUGCGAGUAGAGUGGCGCACGGGUGAGUAACGCGUAAAUAAUCUACCCUGAUGUCUGGAAUAAUUAGCCGAAAGGCUGACUAAUACGGGAUAGAUGUUUGCCUGUUGGGGCAAACAGGAAAGGUGGCCUCUAUUUAUAAGCUAUCGCAUUGGGAUGAGUUUGCGUACCAUUAGCUAGUUGGUGGGGUAAGAGCCCACCAAGGCGACGAUGGUUAGCGGGUCUGAGAGGAUGAUCCGCCACACUGGCACUGGAACACGGGCCAGACUCCUACGGGAGGCUG